GGAGGUGUCAUGACUCAGUGGCAGAGCAUCUGCUUCGCAUGCAGAAUGUCCCAGGUUCAAUCCCCGGCGUCUCCA
This 75-nucleotide transfer RNA is filed under the name Sphaerodactylus townsendi. RNAcentral's name for it is "tRNA-Ala". It matches the Rfam family "tRNA". Rfam says of the family: Transfer RNA (tRNA) molecules are approximately 80 nucleotides in length. Their secondary structure includes four short double-helical elements and three loops (D, anti-codon, and T loops). Further hydrogen bonds mediate the characteristic L-shaped molecular structure. tRNAs have two regions of fundamental functional importance: the anti-codon, which is responsible for specific mRNA codon recognition, and the 3' end, to which the tRNAs corresponding amino acid is attached (by aminoacyl-tRNA synthetases). tRNAs cope with the degeneracy of the genetic code in two manners: having more than one tRNA (with a specific anti-codon) for a particular amino acid; and 'wobble' base-pairing, i.e. permitting non-standard base-pairing at the 3rd anti-codon position. The record is from RNAcentral. Lineage: Eukaryota; Metazoa; Chordata; Lepidosauria; Squamata; Sphaerodactylidae.